GCUGGCGGCGUGCUUAACACAUGCAAGUCGAACGGAAAGGCCCUGCUUUUGUGGGGUGCUCGAGUGGCGAACGGGUGAGUAACACGUGAGUAACCUGCCCUUGACUUUGGGAUGACUUCAGGAAACUGGGGCUAAUACCGGAUAGGAGCUCCUGCUGCAUGGUGGGGGUUGGAAAGUUUCGGCGGUUGGGGAUGGACUCGCGGCUUAUCAGCUUGUUGGUGGGGUAGUGGCUUACCAAGGCUUUGACGGGUAGCCGGCCUGAGAGGGUGACCGGCCACAUUGGGACUGAGAUACGGCCCAGACUCCUACGGGAGGCAGCAGUGGGGAAUAUUGCACAAUGGGCGGAAGCCUGAUGCAGCAACGCCGCGUGCGGGAUGACGGCCUUCGGGUUGUAAACCGCUUUCGCCUGUGACGAAGCGUGAGUGACGGUAAUGGGUAAAGAAGCACCGGCUAACUACGUG
This 461-nucleotide ribosomal RNA is filed under the name uncultured bacterium. RNAcentral describes it as "partial 16S ribosomal RNA". It matches the Rfam family "Bacterial small subunit ribosomal RNA", at positions 35 to 507 of the family's 1533-position model. The record is from RNAcentral.